Molecule: ribosomal RNA, 781 nt
Filed under: uncultured Bacteroidota bacterium
Lineage: Bacteria; Pseudomonadati; Bacteroidota
Description: bacterial SSU rRNA
Rfam family: Bacterial small subunit ribosomal RNA
Source: RNAcentral
ANAGUUUGAUUAUGGCUCAGAAUGAACGCUAGCGGCAGGCCUAACACAUGCAAGUCGAGGGGUAACAGAGAGUGCUUGCACUUUGCUGACGACCGGCGCACGGGUGCGUAACGCGUAUACAAUCUACCUUGUACUGGGGGAUAGCCUUUAGAAAUGAAGAUUAACACCCCAUAGUAUGUCGACCUCGCAUGGGGAUGACAUUAAAGGUUACGGUACAAGAUGAGUAUGCGUCCUAUUAGCUAGAUGGUGUGGUAACGGCACACCAUGGCAACGAUAGGUAGGGGCCCUGAGAGGGGGAUCCCCCACACUGGUACUGAGACACGGACCAGACUCCUACGGGAGGCAGCAGUGAGGAAUAUUGGACAAUGGAGGCAACUCUGAUCCAGCCAUGCCGCGUGCAGGAAGACUGCCCUAUGGGUUGUAAACUGCUUUUAUACAGGAAGAAACCGCUCUACGUGUAGAGCUCCGACGGUACUGUAAGAAUAAGGAUCGGCUAACUCCGUGCCAGCAGCCGCGGUAAUACGGAGGAUCCAAGCGUUAUCCGGAAUCAUUGGGUUUAAAGGGUCCGUAGGUGGAUAAUUAAGUCAGAGGUGAAAGUUUGCAGCUUAACUGUAAAAUUGCCUUUGAUACUGGUUAUCUUGAAUCAUUGUGAAGUGGUUAGAAUAUGUAGUGUAGCGGUGAAAUGCAUAGAUAUUACAUAGAAUACCAAUUGCGAAGGCAGAUCACUAACAAUGUAUUGACACUGAUGGACGAAAGCGUAGGUAGCGAACGGGAUUAGAUA